Long non-coding RNA from Carassius auratus (goldfish), 504 nucleotides. RefSeq lists it as uncharacterized. The transcript is spliced from 3 exons. The record is from RefSeq and is a predicted model, not a curated record. Lineage: Eukaryota; Metazoa; Chordata; Actinopteri; Cypriniformes; Cyprinidae.
CAUUAGCACUCGCUAUAUAGUGCAAAAUAUUAUUGGAGAAGGAGGCUACGGCAGGGUGUAUGAGGGAAUCCGUAUUUCUGAUGGCAAAAAGGUUGCCAUCAAACGUAUUCAAAAGACUGUACGGGAUCAUUAUCUUCAAACUACUCUGCAUCCCAAACCUCUCAUUACCGAAGUUGCGCUGAUGCUAACGAUGAGGCAAGGACCCAUAAGCCCCUACGUCAUCCAACUAUAUGAGUGGUUUGAGCACCCUCAAGUAUUUACUCUCGUGAUGGAGAAUCCGGAUCCCUGCGAGAGCUUGUUGGACUUCAUCAACAAGAAUCCUAACAUGAAUGAGACGACAGCACGGCUCAUUAUGUGUCAGGCGGUGCAAGCAGUACAGCACUGCAUUGAGUGCGGUGUUUUUCAUAACGAUAUUCAUCCAGAUAAUAUCCUGUUGAGAAAACACACUUUGGAGAUCAAGUUGAUAGACUUUGGCUGUGGUCAUCUACUUAGUAGUAAUGGCUA